This 68-nucleotide transfer RNA is filed under the name Mustela putorius furo (domestic ferret). It matches the Rfam family "tRNA". From Rfam's summary of the family: Transfer RNA (tRNA) molecules are approximately 80 nucleotides in length. Their secondary structure includes four short double-helical elements and three loops (D, anti-codon, and T loops). The record is from Rfam by way of RNAcentral. Lineage: Eukaryota; Metazoa; Chordata; Mammalia; Carnivora; Mustelidae.
CUGACUGGCUCAGUCAGUAGAGCAUGAGACUUUUGAUCUCCACAUUAUGAGUUCUAACCCCAUGUUGG